Molecule: ribosomal RNA, 460 nt
Filed under: uncultured bacterium
Lineage: Bacteria
Description: partial 16S ribosomal RNA
Rfam family: Bacterial small subunit ribosomal RNA
Source: RNAcentral
CCUACGGGUGGCAGCAGUGAGGAAUAUUGGUCAAUGGACGAGAGUCUGAACCAGCCACGUAGCGUGAAGGAUGAAUGCCCUAUGGGUUGUAAACUUCUUUUAUAAGGGAAUACAACGAGGCACGUGUGCCUUUUUGCAUGUACUUUAUGAAUAAGGAUAGGCUAACUCCGUGCCAGCAGCCGCGGUAAUACGGAGGAUCCGAGCGUUAUCCGGAUUUGUUGGGUUUAAAGGGAGCGUAGAUGGGUUGUUAAGUCAGUUGUGAAAGUUUGCGGCUCAACCGGAAAAUUGCAAUUGAUACUGGCAGUCUUGAGUACAGUUGAGGUAGGCGGAAUUCGUGGUGUAGCGGUGAAAUGCUUAGAUAUCACGAAGAACCCCGAUUGCGAAGGCAGCUUACUAAACUGUGACUGACAUUGAUGCUCGAAAGUGUGGGUAGCAAACAGGAUUAGAUACCCUGGUAGUC